RNAcentral lists this ribosomal RNA (427 nucleotides) under uncultured beta proteobacterium. RNAcentral describes it as "partial 16S ribosomal RNA". It matches the Rfam family "Bacterial small subunit ribosomal RNA", at positions 355 to 774 of the family's 1533-position model. The record is from RNAcentral. Lineage: Bacteria; Pseudomonadati; Pseudomonadota; Betaproteobacteria.
UGGGGAAUUUUGGACAAUGGGGGCAACCCUGAUCCAGCCAUUCCGCGUGAGUGAAGAAGGCCUUCGGGUUGUAAAGCUCUUUCGCAAGGGAAGAAACGAUACAGACGAAUAAUCUGUGUUAAUGACGGUACCUUGAUAAGAAGCACCGGCUAACUACGUGCCAGCAGCCGCGGUAAUACGUAGGGUGCGAGCGUUAAUCGGAAUUACUGGGCGUAAAGCGUGCGCAGGCGGUUUUGAAAGUCAGAUGUGAAAUCCCCGGGCUCAACCUGGGAACUGCGUUUGAAACUCCAAAGCUAGAGUAUAGGAGAGGGGGGUAGAAUUCCACGUGUAGCAGUGAAAUGCGUAGAGAUGUGGAGGAAUACCAAUGGCGAAGGCAGCCCCCUGGCUUAAUACUGACGCUCAUGCACGAAAGCGUGGGGAGCAAACA